RNAcentral lists this ribosomal RNA (498 nucleotides) under uncultured bacterium. RNAcentral's name for it is "partial 16S ribosomal RNA". It matches the Rfam family "Bacterial small subunit ribosomal RNA", at positions 28 to 523 of the family's 1533-position model. The record is from RNAcentral.
GAUGAACGCUAGCGGCAGGCCUAAUACAUGCAAGUCGAACGAUACCAAGGGGCUUGCUCCUUGGAAAAGUGGCGCACGGGUGCGUAACGCGUAUGCAACCUACCUUUAUCAGGGGGAUAGCCCGGAGAAAUCCGGAUUAAUACCGCAUAAAAUCACAGGAUGGCAUUAUCCAAUGAUCAAACAUUUAUGGGAUAAAGAUGGGCAUGCGUGUCAUUAGCUAGUUGGCGGGGUAACGGCCCACCAAGGCGACGAUGACUAGGGGAUCUGAGAGGAUGGCCCCCCACACUGGUACUGAGACACGGACCAGACUCCUACGGGAGGCAGCAGUAAGGAAUAUUGGUCAAUGGGCGGAAGCCUGAACCAGCCAUGCCGUGUGCAGGAAGAUUGCCCUAUGGGUUGUAAACUGCUUUUAUCCGGGAAUAAACCUACUUACGUGUAAGUAGCUGAAUGUACCGGAAGAAUAAGGAUCGGCUAACUCCGUGCCAGCCGCCGCUGUAA